This 435-nucleotide ribosomal RNA is filed under the name uncultured bacterium. Its description in RNAcentral is "partial 16S ribosomal RNA". It matches the Rfam family "Bacterial small subunit ribosomal RNA", at positions 29 to 507 of the family's 1533-position model. The record is from RNAcentral.
AGCGAACGCUGGCGGCAGGCUUAACACAUGCAAGUCGAGCGGGCACUUUCGGGUGUCAGCGGCGGACGGGUGAGUAACGCGUGGGAACGUGCCCUCUGGUUCGGAAUAACUCAGGGAAACUCGAGCUAAUACCGGAUACGCCCUUUUGGGGAAAGGCUUGCUGCCGGAGGAUCGGCCCGCGUCUGAUUAGCUAGUUGGUGAGGUAACGGCUCACCAAGGCGACGAUCAGUAGCUGGUCUGAGAGGAUGAUCAGCCACACUGGGACUGAGACACGGCCCAGACUCCUACGGGAGGCAGCAGUGGGGAAUAUUGGACAAUGGGCGCAAGCCUGAUCCAGCCAUGCCGCGUGAGUGAUCAAGGCCUUAGGGUUGUAAAGCUCUUUUAUCCGGGACGAUAAUGACGGUACCGGAGGAAUAAGCCCCGGCUAACUUCGUG